RNAcentral lists this unclassified non-coding RNA (573 nucleotides) under Hevea brasiliensis (rubber tree). The record is from RNAcentral. Lineage: Eukaryota; Viridiplantae; Streptophyta; Magnoliopsida; Malpighiales; Euphorbiaceae.
GUCAGCACCAUCACUUUGCCCAAACAACCAGUCUGAUCCUUCCAAUUUCAGAAGUUUGACAAUGCAGUCUCUGAAUGACUGGAGCAGCCUGGCCUCUGAAUUAACAACGAAAGAAGCUUCUUGACUAAUUGAAUGCAGCCUCCCAAUUCCUUUACUCUCAGAAUUGCUAUUUCUAUCCAAACCAAAUUGCUCAGAAGGCUGUCUGUACCAGAAAGAUCCAGAAUCCAAACGAGGAUUCAUUUGUGGUGAUAAUGCACCACCAUAGACAUUUGACGGAGAAAGUUCAUCAAAUGCUAAAGGAGCAACUGAUCUUGAACCAGAAUUUGUGUAAGACACUCCACGAGCAGUUACUCUACUGAUAGAUGAUCCAUAACCAGUCACAUGAUCCCACUGAGAACUCUUAUCUGAUACGUGCUGAUCACGAUGAAUAUCAGGCAAGCUAUGGUAUUUCUUUGUAUUAGAUACAUUCGAUAAAUUCUCACCAGUUCCAGACGCAGAAAGAUCAUAAUAUUGGCCGUCAGAUUCAGAAGAAGGAUUCCUGGAUACUGCGAAGUUGGAGAAUCCAGGGGAAGG